RNAcentral lists this non-coding RNA (21 nucleotides) under Caenorhabditis elegans. The record is from RNAcentral. Lineage: Eukaryota; Metazoa; Nematoda; Chromadorea; Rhabditida; Rhabditidae.
UGCUAUAUGGCAGCAAUAUAA